Antechinus flavipes (yellow-footed antechinus) is the source of this 1877-nucleotide long non-coding RNA. RefSeq lists it as uncharacterized. The transcript is spliced from 2 exons. The record is from RefSeq and is a predicted model, not a curated record. Lineage: Eukaryota; Metazoa; Chordata; Mammalia; Dasyuromorphia; Dasyuridae.
CGCGCGCCGGAAAGAUGAGGGCACGUGACCAAUGGCGCCCCGCCCCCUUUUCUCUCUUCUCUCCGCGCAGGCUCCUCCGCCGGGACCCUUCUUAGAGUCGGCUGGUUGCCGGGAGUUGCUGUCGUCACGUGACAAGGGGGCAUAAGUUCGAGUGGGGCCGCCAUCCUGGAUUCAGAGCUGCGCAGACGCAAACGCAUACGUAUUUGCAGACGCAUCCACGGGAGAAGCAGUCUGGAGACUGUGGAGAAGGGGGCGUGACACUCCACCCCAGCUCAAGUUCUAAUUCUCAGCUCUCGACUUUACGGCGGCCUUUGAAUGGAGGGACUGCUCCCGAAAUCGGGAGUGAUUGUCACAUCUAGUUCCUCCUUUUUACAGAUGGGGAAAUCGAGGCCCAGUGAGGGCCAGCGACUUGUCCAGGGACACACAGCCAGGAAGCAGCAGAGCAAGAAUUUUAAACGAUUCCCGUGAUUCCCAGUCUGCUUAUUCAGAAGAGGGUGAGGAGCCCCUGUCAGGGAGGGAGAGAAGAAAAGGGGAAGGAAAGCUGAUGGGGUUGGGUGGAGAACGCCUCGGGGAGGGCCAGCCUGGGCUGUUCACCUUCAAAUUUUGCUUCUCGCCUGACUCGGGAAGCUCUGAGUUUAAAUUCUGCCUCUGACACUUGCAGGCUUUGCGAAGCUGGAGGCAUUGUGGGAAGAGCCAGCCUAGAGGUCCUCAGACCCUGGGUGCAGAUUUUGCCUCUGAUUAGCAUCGCGUAACCUCUCGGCCCUGCAGGCAGAUUCCUAAGACUAAACUGCGGGGGAGGGGCGGGUCUCUCUAACGAGGAGGUGUCCUCUGGGACCGUUUGUGGCGCCUUUGUGAUUCCAGCUUUCCCAGCGGCGGUGAGACUCCUCUGGAGUACGCCGGACACUGUGGUUUAUCAACCCGAAAGUCCUAUGUUGGUUAAUUACUCGUUACACAGCUCAGACCCCGAGCGGAGUAGCGGCUCCGACUUAGUCAAGCUCUUUGUCAAGCUUCUCUCAACCUCUCCUCCCUUUUCCUACUGCCUCUUCCCUGCAUCGGUUUCUCUGUACAAUAAUCCACUGUUUUAAUGAUGUACUUGCCACUCAUCCAUUGCCCUCCUGACCUAGCAGUUCCCAUCUUUUUGUUGUUAUUUGAGCUAGAGAAAUGCAAUAUUUACCUGAUUAAAGGUGCAUGCCCCGCAUUAACCUCUCACUACUUAACUGCUUGACAAUCCCACCCGUUUCUUAUCAGUUCCAUUUGGUUGAUCCAGAUCUUUUUCUCUAGAGCUCCUAACACCAGCUCUAAGGUCCUAUCUAAUUGUAAUGUUCUGUGGUGUUACUCAUAAAUAGAACAGCUGAGGAUGGAAGGGCAGAUCUAGAGUAUAAGCUAAAGAAUUUAGACAUUAAGACAAGUUAAGCCUUUAUUACUUGAUCAUUAUGUGUAGGCACUGUUUCAAAGAAAGACAAAAAAAAAAAAAACCCAGUGCCAGCCUUCAAAGAAUUCUCCUUUUAGUGGGAGAGAGAUGCCUACAACAGAAAAAAGCACUGAGUAAAUGGAAGGCACCCUAAAAGGGGAAGGCAUGGGGGAGAAGAGGGACCAGGCGCAAUGGAGGAGAGUUGGCUAUAUAGAGAAAUCUCUGUUAAUGUUGUCCUACAUAGUACCCUAGAGAAGUUUCAUUUUUCCAAACACAUGUAGUACUAGAACAAUAGUUUGCCAACGCUUCUGCCUUUCAUUAACUGUGACUUUGACAUUAAAUUUGCAAUAGCAAUUGCAAAAAGAUGCAAGCUUUUAGGGCCUUAACUUUUUUUUAGCCCAAAUCCAUAAUGUUCAUAGUCACUUUUGUGCUUAGCAAAGGGCAAUAAAAGACAUUCUUCAAUGAA